RNAcentral lists this ribosomal RNA (651 nucleotides) under uncultured Funneliformis. RNAcentral's name for it is "SSU rRNA". It matches the Rfam family "Eukaryotic small subunit ribosomal RNA", at positions 624 to 1276 of the family's 1831-position model. The record is from RNAcentral. Lineage: Eukaryota; Fungi; Glomeromycota; Glomeromycetes; Glomerales; Glomeraceae.
AAGCUCGUAGUUGAAUUUCGGCAUCAAUGGGUCGGUCAUGCCAAUGGUAUGUGCUGGCCUCNUUGGUUCUCACCUUCUAAGGAACCAUAAUGUCAUUUAUUUGAUGUUGUGGGAAAUUAGGACUGUUACCUUGAAAAAAUUAGAGUGUUUAAAGCAGGCCAACGCUUGAAUACAUUAGCAUGGAAUAAUGAAAUAGGACAUCGCAUUCUAUUUUGUUGGUUUCUAGGAUCGUUGUAAUGAUUAAUAGGGAUAGUUGGGGGCAUUAGUAUUCAAUUGUCAGAGGUGAAAUUCUUGGAUUUAUUGAAGACUAACUACUGCGAAAGCAUUUGCCAAGGAUGUUUUCAUUGAUCAAGAACGAAAGUUAGGGGAUCGAAGACGAUCAGAUACCGUCGUAGUCUUAACCAUAAACUAUGCCGACUAGGGAUCGGAUGAUGUUGAUUUUUUAAUGACUCAUUCGGCACCUUACGGGAAACCAAAGUGUUUGGGUUCCGGGGGGAGUAUGGUCGCAAGGCUGAAACUUAAAGGAAUUGACGGAAGGGCACCACCAGGGGUGGAGCCUGCGGCUUAAUUUGACUCAACACGGGGAAACUCACCAGGUCCAGACAUAGUAAGGAUUGACAGAUUGAGAGCUCUUUCUUGAUUCUAUGGGUG